AAAGGGAUAGUCGGACUUGGAACGGGGUCCGAGGCCUCGAAAGUCCACAUCUAGCUACUGGGUGGUCCGAUUCUGAGUGAUCUCGAACUUUCUUGUCCACAAAAGCCGAACGGUGACGCCCCAGACUCGGUUUCUUGGUUCCGUCCCAAAACGCCGAAGAAAGGCACAAUGGCCUAGAAAGGGACGGUCGGACUUGGAACGGGGUCCGAGGCCUCGAAAGUCCACAUCAAGCUACUGGGUGGUCCGAUUCUGAGUGAUCUCGAAGUUUCUAGCCACAAAAGCCGAACGGUGACGCCCCAGACUCGGUUUUUUGGUUCCGUCCCAAAACGCCGAAGAAAGGCACAAUGGCCUAGAAAGGGACGGUCGGACAUGGAACGGGGUCCGAGGCGUCGAAAGUCCACAUCUAGCUACUGGGUGGUCCGAUUCCGAGUGAUCUCGAAGUUUCUUGCCCACAAAAGCCGAACGGUGCGCCCCAGACUCGGUUUCUUGGUUCCGUCCCGAAACGCCGAAGAAAGGCACAAUGGCCUCGAAAGGGACGGUCGGACUUGGAACGGGGUCUGAGGCCUCGAAAGUCCACAUCUAGCUACUUGGUGGUCCGAUUCUGAGUGAUCUCGAAGUUUCUUGCCCAGAAAAGCCGAACGGUGUCGCCCUAGACUCGGUUUCUUGGUUCCGUCCCAAAACGCCGAAGAAAGGCACAAUGGCCCAGUAAGGGACGGUCGGACUAGGAACGGGGUCCGAGGCCUCGAAAGUCCACAUCUAGCUACUGGGUGGUCCGAUUCUGAGUGAUCUCGAAGUUUCUUGCCCACAAAAGCCGAACGGUGACGCCCCAGACUCGGUUUCUUGGUUUUGUCCCAUAACGCCGAAGAAAGGCACAGUGGCCUAGAAAGGGACGGUCGGACUUGGAACGGGGUCCUAGGCCUCGAAAGUCCACAUCUAGCUACUUGAUGGUCCGAUUCUGAGUGAUCUCGAAGUUUCUUGGCCACAAAAGCCGAACGGUGACGCCCCAGACUCGGUUUCUUGGUUCCGUACCAAAACGCCGAAGAAAGGCACAGUGGCCUAGAAAGGGACGGUCGGACUUGGAACGGGGUCCGAGGCCUCGAAAGUCCACAUCUAGCUACUGGGUGGUCCGAUUCUGAGUUAUCUCGAAGUUUCUUGCGCACAAAAACCAAACGGUGACGCCCCAGACUCGGUUUCUUGGUUCCUUCCGAAAACGCCGAAGAAAGACACAAUGGCCUAGAAAGGGACGGUCGGACUUGGAACGCAGUCCGGGGCCUCGAAAGUCCACAUCUAGCUACUGGGUGGUCCGAUUCUGAGUGAUCUCGAAGUUUCUUGCCCACAAAAGCCGAACGGUGUCGCCCCAGACUCGGUUUCUUGGUUCCGUCCCAAAACGUCGAAGAAAGGCACAUUGGCCUAGAAAGGGACGGUCGGACUUGGAACGGUGUCCGAGGCCUCGAAAGUCCACAUCUAGCUACUCC
This 1475-nucleotide long non-coding RNA is filed under the name Cucumis sativus (cucumber). RNAcentral's name for it is "long non-coding RNA (CSAT_LNC000184)". Lineage: Eukaryota; Viridiplantae; Streptophyta; Magnoliopsida; Cucurbitales; Cucurbitaceae. The record is from RNAcentral.